Long non-coding RNA from Gasterosteus aculeatus aculeatus (three-spined stickleback), 634 nucleotides. Lineage: Eukaryota; Metazoa; Chordata; Actinopteri; Perciformes; Gasterosteidae. The record is from Ensembl.
GUAAGUUGAAGCACAUGUUGACAUUUAAAGAAAGUGAUCUCUCUCAUCUCUUCUACCCGUCACGUCUUGGAAUGGUCAAAUCACAACAUACAAUCAUAACGUUAUUUCUACUAGAUGCUGGUGAAGACGCUGUUUCACAGGACCUUGCAAUACAAAAGAUGACAAUCUACAGGAACAAGUCGAACACGUCGAAGAGUCCAGACGUCGGUAUCGUGUUGGACGGAGUAAAAGUUCUGACUGCACCAAGGGACUUUCCAAGGGCUUGCUGUCUGCUGGUUAUGUUUGCGUAUGCAGUGAAUCUUGCACAUUCAAAGAAACUUAAACACAUUUAAGGUGUUCCAAGUUUUCUUGGAGCUGGACUGUUCAAACCGUUGACCCUUGGAGAAAAAAAGGGAAUUGUUGUUACUGUUAGAACUCUCCAAUGUGGUUACUGUUUGUUCAAUGCAUGUUAAUUAAAUUUUAAAGAUUCACAUUGAGAAGUUUAGGUUUGGCUCUUUCCUGGAGUUCACUUUUAGUGUUGCAAUCUAGUGUUAAUGCUGCUUUAUUUGUGUUGUUCAAAUGUAUAUAAACCAUGCUCAUUUAAUGCAGCUUUUCCUGUAUGUAUUUAUAGAAAUUUGCACAAAUAAAGUUUAAC